GAAGUGUGGACGCCAGUCUGCAUGGAGCCGACCUUGAAAUACCACCCUUUAAUGUUUGAUGUUCUAACGUUGACCCGUAAUCCGGGUUGCGGACAGUGUCUGGUGGGUAGUUUGACUGGGGCGGUCUCCUCCUAAAGAGUAACGGAGGAGCACGAAGGUUGGCUAAUCCUGGUCGGACAUCAGGAGGUUAGUGCAAUGGCAUAAGCCAGCUUGACUGCGAGCGUGACGGCGCGAGCAGGUGCGAAAGCAGGUCAUAGUGAUCCGGUGGUUCUGAAUGGAAGGGCCAUCGCUCAACGGAUAAAAGGUACUCCGGGGAUAACAGGCUGAUACCGCCCAAGAGUUCAUAUCGACGGCGGUGUUUGGCACCUCGAUGUCGGCUCAUCACAUCCUGGGGCUGAAGUAGGUCCCAAGGGUAUGGCUGUUCGCCAUUUAAAGUGGUACGCGAGCUGGGUUUAGAACGUCGUGAGACAGUUCGGUCCCUAUCUGCCGUGGGCGCUGGAGAACUGAGGGGGGCUGCUCCUAGUACGAGAGGACCGGAGUGGACGCAUCACUGGUGUUCGGGUUGUCAUGCCAAUGGCACUGCCCGGUAGCUAAAUGCGGAAGAGAUAAGUGCUGAAAGCAUCUAAGCACGAAACUUGCCCCGAGAUGAGUUCUCCCUGACUCCUUGAGAGUCCUGAAGGAACGUUGAAGACGACGACGUUGAUAGGCCGGGUGUGUAAGCGCAGCGAUGCGUUGAGCUAACCGGUACUAAUGAACCGUGAGGCUUAACCUUACAACGC
Molecule: ribosomal RNA, 779 nt
Filed under: Escherichia coli
Lineage: Bacteria; Pseudomonadati; Pseudomonadota; Gammaproteobacteria; Enterobacterales; Enterobacteriaceae
Description: partial 23S ribosomal RNA
Rfam family: Bacterial large subunit ribosomal RNA
Source: RNAcentral